This is a non-coding RNA of Arachis ipaensis, 459 nucleotides long. The record is from RefSeq and is a predicted model, not a curated record. NCBI's taxonomy places the organism in Eukaryota, Viridiplantae, Streptophyta, Magnoliopsida, Fabales, Fabaceae.
CGAAACAUUAAAAACUCGAAAUAAGAAGAUCAUGACAAUUUUACGUCUCUAACCCAAUCUUUCUAUAAUUUGUUCAUCUCUUAUCUCGUAAUGCCAAAAUUAAAAUAUUCUUGAACACAUACUAUAUUUGAGUUAAACACCAAUUUAAGCGUCGUAAACCCCUCAAUUAUUUUGUCUUGCAAGCAAUUAAUUAUCUAUCGGGAGAUUCUAUGAUGCUGAUCGUGAUUGUCAGCAUCCCAUGUUUUCAUGUGGUGUCAGGUUAAGAGAGUGACACGUACAAGCUGAGGUUAAAUAGGGGGUAAUGGAUUCGUGUUAUGGUUUCGUUGCUUCCGUUUUGAUUGUUUGAUGGAGAAUGAUUAAAUAACAGUUAAUCACAAAUUAUGGAUUGUUGGAUAAUGGACUGAAAGUUAGUGGCCCAUGUGAAGUUGGCCAAGGGUAAUGAAAAAUAAAAAAUAGGCC